This 584-nucleotide ribosomal RNA is filed under the name uncultured fungus. RNAcentral's name for it is "eukaryotic LSU rRNA". The stretch from base 161 to 313 matches the Rfam family "5.8S ribosomal RNA". Lineage: Eukaryota; Fungi. The record is from RNAcentral.
UCCGUAGGUGAACCUGCGGAAGGAUCAUUAACACUAAUCCAAUCAACUCAACCGAGCCUAUAGUUGCAGCCCAGGUGUUCGCCGCAAGGCAGCGCCGCAGCAGCAACCACAACAAACCUAAUCACACAAAGGACUUUAACUAAGCCUUACCACAAAACCAAAUUCUCAACGAUGGAUAUCUUGGUUCCCAUAACGAUGAAGAACGCAGCGAAGUGCGAUAAGCAAUGCGAAUUGCAGAACCGUGAGUCAUCAGAUUUUUUGAACGCAACUGGCGCUGGUUGGUUAUCCAACCAGCAUGCUUGUUUCAGUGUCUCUUUAUCCCCUCACCCAAAUCUUAAUGCGAGAGAUACCCUUCUCUCGUCAAGCAAGAAAGCACUCUGCGCUCUGCGAGCGCCUUCGACUUGUUCGAGGGUCGCACUCAAUGCAGCAGUCACAUUGUUCACAAUGUGAACUCAUUGAGAGUAGAGGCAGUGCAGCCUUACCGCUGCCAGUGCUUAGACACUCAAACUUUUCUUGGUAUCUGGAAAUCAAGGCAGGGACCACCCGCUGAACUUAAGGCAUAUCAAUAAGGCGGGGAGGGGGAA